CACGAAAGUGGACGUAUACGGUGUGACGCCUGCCCGGUGCUGGAAGGUUAAUUGAUGGGGUUAGCGCAAGCGAAGCUCCUGAUCGAAGCCCCAGUAAACGGCGGCCGUAACUAUAACGGUCCUAAGGUAGCGAAAUUCCUUGUCGGGUAAGUUCCGACCUGCACGAAUGGCGUAAUGAUGGCCAGGCUGUCUCCACCCGAGACUCAGUGAAAUUGAACUCGCUGUGAAGAUGCAGUGUACCCGCGGCAAGACGGAAAGACCCCGUGAACCUUUACUAUAGCUUGACACUGAACAUUGAGCCUUGAUGUGUAGGAUAGGUGGGAGGCUUUGAAGUGUGGACGCCAGUCUGCAUGGAGCCAACCUUGAAAUACCACCCUUUAACGUUUGAUGUUCUAACCUAGGCCCGUGAUCCGGGUCGGGGACCGUGUCUGGUGGGUAGUUUGACUGGGGCGGUCUCCUCCUAAAGAGUAACGGAGGAGCACGAAGGUUGGCUAAGCAUGGUCGGACAUCAUGCGGUUAGUGCAAAGGCAUAAGCCAGCUUGACUGCGAGAGUGACGGCUCGAGCAGGUACGAAAGUAGGUCUUAGUGAUCCGGUGGUUCUGAAUGGAAGGGCCAUCGCUCAACGGAUAAAAGGUACUCCGGGGAUAACAGGCUGAUACCGCCCAAGAGUUCAUAUCGACGGCGGUGUUUGGCACCUCGAUGUCGGCUCAUCACAUCCUGGGGCUGAAGUAGGUCCCAAGGGUAUGGCUGUUCGCCAUUUAAAGUGGUACGCGAGCUGGGUUUAGAACGUCGUGAGACAGUUCGGUCCCUAUCUGCCGUGGGCGUUGGAAGAUUGAGAGGGGUUGCUCCUAGUACGAGAGGACCGGAGUGAACGCACCACUGGUGUUCGGGUUGUCAUGCCAAUGGCAUUGCCCGGUAGCUAAGUGCGGAAGAGAUAACCGCUGAAAGCAUCUAAGCGGGAAACUUGCCUCGAGAUG
This 977-nucleotide ribosomal RNA is filed under the name Proteus mirabilis. RNAcentral describes it as "partial 23S ribosomal RNA". It matches the Rfam family "Bacterial large subunit ribosomal RNA", at positions 1830 to 2806 of the family's 2925-position model. Lineage: Bacteria; Pseudomonadati; Pseudomonadota; Gammaproteobacteria; Enterobacterales; Morganellaceae. The record is from RNAcentral.